UUUACCGGCCACACCACCCUGAGCGCGCCCGAUCUCGUCUGAUCUCGGAAGCUAAGCAGGGGUCCGGGCCUGGUUAGUACUUGGAUGGGAGACCGCCUGGGAAUACCAGGUGCCCGUAAGC
This 121-nucleotide ribosomal RNA is filed under the name Lates calcarifer (barramundi perch). The record is from RNAcentral. Lineage: Eukaryota; Metazoa; Chordata; Actinopteri; Centropomidae.